This 137-nucleotide ribosomal RNA is filed under the name uncultured bacterium. Its description in RNAcentral is "partial 16S ribosomal RNA". It matches the Rfam family "Bacterial small subunit ribosomal RNA", at positions 355 to 509 of the family's 1533-position model. The record is from RNAcentral.
UGGGGAAUAUUGCACAAUGGGGGGAACCCUGAUGCAGCGACGCCGCGUGAGCGAAGAAGUAUUUCGGUAUGUAAAGCUCUAUCAGCAGGGAAGAAAAUGACGGUACCUGACUAAGAAGCCCCGGCUAACUACGUGCC